RNAcentral lists this transfer RNA (77 nucleotides) under Aquimarina amphilecti. Its description in RNAcentral is "tRNA_Pseudo_TTC". It matches the Rfam family "tRNA". From Rfam's summary of the family: Transfer RNA (tRNA) molecules are approximately 80 nucleotides in length. Their secondary structure includes four short double-helical elements and three loops (D, anti-codon, and T loops). Further hydrogen bonds mediate the characteristic L-shaped molecular structure. tRNAs have two regions of fundamental functional importance: the anti-codon, which is responsible for specific mRNA codon recognition, and the 3' end, to which the tRNAs corresponding amino acid is attached (by aminoacyl-tRNA synthetases). tRNAs cope with the degeneracy of the genetic code in two manners: having more than one tRNA (with a specific anti-codon) for a particular amino acid; and 'wobble' base-pairing, i.e. permitting non-standard base-pairing at the 3rd anti-codon position. Lineage: Bacteria; Pseudomonadati; Bacteroidota; Flavobacteriia; Flavobacteriales; Flavobacteriaceae. The record is from RNAcentral.
GCUCUGUUCGUAUAAUGUUUUAGUACACCUCACUUUCUAUGAGGAAACUAGGAGUUCGAUUCUCCUACAGAGUACAA